UUUACAAAAUUAUUCGAGCAUUAUUUAAAAUCCGAAAAUUAAAUUUAUUGUCACGGAAUUAAAUAGCAGGCUAUCCAUUAUUUAACCGGUCAAACAUUAGGAGAGCCCACCAUUUAAUUGACACAGCAGGCCCAACUCAUUUUUAAAUUAUACAACACUGGCCCAAAUACAUAAUUAAAACAAGUGGCCCAAACUCUCCCUAUCACCCAGCUCCAUCGUCCCUCUCCCUUACUCUUCUCAAAACAAAAAUCCCUAAAUUAGGAACCCUAAUUCCUUUCUCACUCUCUUCGCCUCAUCUUCUCCGGCGAAAUCGCCGUCCUGUCGGAACCCGCCGGCGACUCGUAUAAGCGGAGGCUCCGCCGCCGUCUGCUAUAGUCCCUCACUCCUUCACUCAUCUAUUCGCGACGAUUCAGCGCCGUCGGACGCCGUUCAGUCCGUUUCACAGACCAGCGCCGCCGCCGCCGCUGACCUUCGGUGUCGCCGCUGCACCAGGGAGUUUCUGCGGCCGCCUUCGCGGCCUCGCCGUCGCCGGUGGCUCCCAGGCAGCUCCUCAGCCAUAAAGCUAAGUUUUCCGUUCUUUUAAAAGUUUCAACCUUUAAUUCAUUCCUUAAGGCAGUAGCUAUGUGGAAACUAAUACUUGAUCAUUUGAGAGUUAUCUGAACCUGUGAGAUUUUAGUAUGCUUGAGGUUGUGUUCUGCUGCUAUGGUUGUAAACAAAAAGAAAACAUGCUUCUGUUACUGUCAUUUAUGGGUGAAAGUUCUGUUGUGAGCAAGCUCCCUAAGGCCUCUAUGUUGGGUUUUAACUAUAUGAUGACGUGAGAUGAUACUUGGGAAGGUAGAUGAGGUGUGGGGUGUAUUACCUCUUGAAGUGGCUGCUGAUCUCUUCCUCUGAUCCUAAAACUUGCAGCUUGCUCACUUGUGUUUCUGAUUCUUUUUGUUAAGUUAGGGAAAGAGUGAGUUUGGGUUGAGCAUAAACAAAAUCUUGUGGAAAGGAAGGAAGAAGGUAUGUUACCUAAGGAGAGUAGAAACUGCCUGCAGGGACUCUGCAGAGACUCUUCUCCCAAACACUCACUCUCAAACUUGCUAUUUGGCUGAAGAUUUCGAACAAGUAAGAGGGGUUUUGGAGGUGGUGUGGGGGUUCUUAUAGGCGCAUUGUAGUGUACUUGGAUGAGGAAUAAUGGUGCUGCUACUUGCUUUGUUUUCUUUCUACAGAAAAUCCCAUGUACAGCAAGGACGCAGGUGCUGCCUCCAUGAGGUGGAGAUUUUGCAGGCCUUGACUUGCCUCUUUGGCUAGUCUUCGGUCCUUCAGCCAAAGGGGCUGUCCCCUUUCCCUUAUUUAGGUGCUCCCAUUAAUUUCCUUUGUUCUUUAGGACUAAUGUUUGUUUUUACUUUGCAGGGGAACAAUAAUUUGGCUGUCAUACUGCUAUCCGCGACAUGGGCUCACUGCCCCGGGCUCGACGGGCUGAUCUGGUAGGGCCGCGGUGAGGACGUGGUUUGAGCUCGGGAGAAAGAGGCCUAAAGUAUAGCUAAUAGAAGCUUUUAGUUUCUUAGCCUCCUUGGCUCAUUCUUGAACAUUUUUUUGUAACAUUAAAGAUCUUCCAUUUAAAUUAAUUGUAUUAUUCGAGAAGUAUGCGAACACUUUCGUUUGGGGAGAACAACUUCAUAUCCUUGUACAACGUUCAUUUUAUUUCAUAGCAUACAUUUGAUUGUUUUA
Long non-coding RNA from Salvia splendens (bonfire salvia), 1713 nucleotides. RefSeq lists it as uncharacterized. The record is from RefSeq and is a predicted model, not a curated record. Lineage: Eukaryota; Viridiplantae; Streptophyta; Magnoliopsida; Lamiales; Lamiaceae. The transcript is spliced from 2 exons.